This 461-nucleotide ribosomal RNA is filed under the name uncultured Methylomirabilota bacterium. RNAcentral describes it as "bacterial SSU rRNA". It matches the Rfam family "Bacterial small subunit ribosomal RNA", at positions 977 to 1435 of the family's 1533-position model. The record is from RNAcentral. Lineage: Bacteria; Methylomirabilota (SeqCode).
GGGCUUGACAUCCCACGAACCUGCCCGAAAGGGUAGGGUGCCCGCAAGGGAGCGUGGAGACAGGUGGUGCACGGCUGUCGUCAGCUCGUGUCGUGAGAUGUUGAGUUAAGUCCCGCAACGAGCGCAACCCUCGCCCCUUGUUGCCACCGGGUUAUGCCGAGCACUCUAGGGGAACUGCCAGCGUCAAGCUGGAGGAAGGCGGGGAUGACGUCAAGUCAUCAUGCCCCUUACGCCCUGGGCGACACACGUGCUACAAUGGCUGGUACAAAGGGAUGCAAGACCGCGAGGUGGAGCUAAUCCCAAAAAACCGGUCUAAGUUCAGAUUGCAGUCUGCAACUCGACUGCAUGAAGGAGGAAUCGCUAGUAAUCGCGCAUCAGCACGGCGCGGUGAAUACGUUCCCGGGCCUUGUACACACCGCCCGUCACACCACGAAAGCCGGCUGUACUCGAAGUCGCUGAGA